AACAGAGCAGGCAGUGGGGCACUGCCUGGGCUGUCUAGGCUCUGUCACCUCCUCAGGGCACGCUUUUGAUUGCUGAGGUAACUGCUCAAGCCUGGCUUCCAGGAGAAGGACCAUCCCCCAUCCUAAGGCUGCUGUGAGGACUGCAUGUGGUCAGCACACAAAGUACUUGGGAAAGCACCGGCAGGUGACUCGAUAAAUGAAAUGACUGAGCCAAAAUAUUCUCAUCCUCUCACCCUGUCCAACUGGAAAUGAGGACUACAAAGCAAACACGGCUGACAUACUCCACGGCACCUCCCCCACCACGGGCCAGCACAGUACACUACAGCUGCACAUCCUCUGCUCUGGUUGGUUCUAGAAACAAAGGUUUCUGACGUGACCGUGUGUGACUCUCAACGCGGUCACUUCCACUUUACAACCGCCCUGCUCCUGGAAAAGAGUUGCAUGUUACUAAUUAAAGUCAUGAAGCUUUUACUUC
Molecule: long non-coding RNA, 475 nt
Filed under: Rattus norvegicus (Norway rat)
Lineage: Eukaryota; Metazoa; Chordata; Mammalia; Rodentia; Muridae
Description: long non-coding RNA NONRATT003941
Source: RNAcentral